UAUGCUUCUAAGAGCAGUGAUUCAAAGAAGCUUUAGUGUGAAACCCUUUGCAAGGCCUUUGUCUGAUUGACUACCUCAAUUUUUUUGUGUAAGAAUUCUAAACUUUUGAACAAAAAAUGUUGGAAUUUUUGGAACGCGUUGAAUGAAUGAAUGGUAAAAGCUUCAAAAUGCACCUUGGUGAACAUUAGAAUAUGGGACACGUAUAUUGCAAAAGGAUAGUCGGAGGCAUACAAAUGAUCGAAUGGCAAAGCGGCUAACAAGUCCACUACAAACCAGCCUUUUAAAUAGUUGAUGGCUAUCAGCUUUG
Molecule: long non-coding RNA, 307 nt
Organism: Teleopsis dalmanni
Lineage: Eukaryota; Metazoa; Arthropoda; Insecta; Diptera; Diopsidae
Exons: 3
Source: RefSeq, a predicted model, not a curated record